Molecule: long non-coding RNA, 257 nt
Organism: Zingiber officinale
Lineage: Eukaryota; Viridiplantae; Streptophyta; Magnoliopsida; Zingiberales; Zingiberaceae
Exons: 4
Source: RefSeq, a predicted model, not a curated record
UGCCCUAGCGCCGACAGUCGAGUUCGUCUGUGCCCUAGAACCGAUCUGCCCAUCUCCGGCUACUCAGGAGCAGGUAGUGCCGAGUUCUUCCUCUGUUCCAGCCGGAAGAAAAGGGUCGAUUGGGGGGUAUAUUGUUUUGGAAAUCCACAGGUCCAACCUCGCUCCAGUCAGGGCUAUUGUUGUGGAUCACCGGCAGACCAUCCGGAUUUGGGUUGAUGAUGUCAGGAGACAGUUCCAGUCGCUAGUCCCCAUUGCAC